This 468-nucleotide ribosomal RNA is filed under the name Kocuria palustris. RNAcentral describes it as "bacterial SSU rRNA". It matches the Rfam family "Bacterial small subunit ribosomal RNA", at positions 27 to 504 of the family's 1533-position model. The record is from RNAcentral. Lineage: Bacteria; Bacillati; Actinomycetota; Actinomycetes; Micrococcales; Micrococcaceae.
GGACGAACGCUGGCGGCGUGCUUAACACAUGCAAGUCGAACGCUGAAGCACCAGCUUGCUGGUGUGGAUGAGUGGCGAACGGGUGAGUAAUACGUGAGUAACCUGCCCUUGACUCUGGGAUAAGCCCGGGAAACUGGGUCUAAUACUGGAUGCUACAUGUCACCGCAUGGUGGUGUGUGGAAAGGGUUUACUGGUCUUGGAUGGGCUCACGGCCUAUCAGCUUGUUGGUGAGGUAAUGGCUCACCAAGGCGACGACGGGUAGCCGGCCUGAGAGGGUGACCGGCCACACUGGGACUGAGACACGGCCCAGACUCCUACGGGAGGCAGCAGUGGGGAAUAUUGCACAAUGGGCGAAAGCCUGAUGCAGCGACGCCGCGUGAGGGAUGACGGCCUUCGGGUUGUAAACCUCUUUCAGCAGGGAAGAAGCCACAAGUGACGGUACCUGCAGAAGAAGCGCCGGCUAACUAC